This 253-nucleotide ribosomal RNA is filed under the name uncultured bacterium. RNAcentral describes it as "partial 16S ribosomal RNA". It matches the Rfam family "Bacterial small subunit ribosomal RNA", at positions 524 to 776 of the family's 1533-position model. The record is from RNAcentral.
UACAGAGGUCCCAAGCGUUGUUCGGAUUCACUGGGCGUAAAGGGUGCGUAGGUGGUGUGGUAAGUCGGAUGUGAAAGCUCGGAGCUCAACUCCGAAAUGGCAUUGGAAACUACCCUGCUAGAGGAUUGGAGGGGGGACUGGAAUACUUGGUGUAGCAGUGAAAUGCGUAGAUAUCAAGUGGAACACCAGUGGCGAAGGCGAGUCCCUGGACAAUACCUGACACUGAGGCACGAAAGCUAGGGGAGCAAACAGG